AUCUCUGGUGUUCCGGUUGUCACGACAGUGGCACUGCCGGGUAGCUAUAUACGGACGGGAUAACCGCUGAAAGCAUCUAAGCGGGAAGCCCCCCCCAAGAUUAGUUCUCCCUGGGAACUCGAUUCCCCUGAAGGGCCGUCGAAGACUACGACGUUGAUAGGCUGGGUGUGUAAGUGCAGUAAUGCAUUGAGCUAACCAGUACUAAUUGCCCGUGCGGCUUGACCAU
This 226-nucleotide ribosomal RNA is filed under the name Gammaproteobacteria bacterium. Its description in RNAcentral is "partial 23S ribosomal RNA". It matches the Rfam family "Bacterial large subunit ribosomal RNA", at positions 2705 to 2925 of the family's 2925-position model. Lineage: Bacteria; Pseudomonadati; Pseudomonadota; Gammaproteobacteria. The record is from RNAcentral.